Molecule: non-coding RNA, 488 nt
Organism: Vicugna pacos (alpaca)
Lineage: Eukaryota; Metazoa; Chordata; Mammalia; Artiodactyla; Camelidae
Source: RefSeq, a predicted model, not a curated record
GUCUCCAAGCAGCCCGCGUUGCGCAGCGCCCAGAACGGCCUGGAUUGGGAAACCUGGCGCUCAGCGCAAGUGAGGAUCUGUCCCCUCCCCCCGUGGAUCUGCCUUCCCGGCGGCGCCCCCUCCUCAUCCAUCUUGGGAGAUGAAAAUGUCGUUUUAUUGGAUGCCGAGGCCAGAUCUGGGUGAUGGGGCUCGGCCAGUCUAGCGCAUUUUCUUCAUGCAUAUUGACGAGAUGGUAAUGAGCGCGUUUGCAUUGUUGCGUGGAGAUGCUGCGUUUCCCGCCGCAGUUCCCAGAGGGCGAGGGUGGCGGGGGCCACGAGUGCCCACAGUGGGCACCCGGUCUAGUGGCUGCAGCUGGCCCUCAGCGGGUUCACGGUGCUUGGGGCCCGGGGAAGGAAGUGAUCUCGCAGAGCUCGCGGUCGGGCCGCCACCUCCUGGGCUUCCCCACAAAGGCCGGCCGCCCUCCCCUCAUUAAAGCCUCGUUACUGGAA